GCCGCCUACGGGGCGCAGCAGUGGGGAGUAUUGGGCAAUGGGCGCAAGCCUGACCCAGCAACGCCGCGUGAAGGAAGAAGGCUUUCGGGUUGUAAACUUCUUUUCUCAGGGACGAAUAGAUGACGGUACCUGAGGAAUAAGCCACGGCUAACUACGUGCCAGCAGCCGCGGUAAUACGUAGGUGGCAAGCGUUAUCCGGAUUUACUGGGUGUAAAGGGCGUGCAGGCGGGGACGCAAGUCAGAUGUGAAAACC
This 253-nucleotide ribosomal RNA is filed under the name uncultured bacterium. Its description in RNAcentral is "partial 16S ribosomal RNA". It matches the Rfam family "Bacterial small subunit ribosomal RNA", at positions 334 to 602 of the family's 1533-position model. The record is from RNAcentral.